This is a small nucleolar RNA of Lathyrus oleraceus (garden pea), 108 nucleotides long. The record is from RefSeq and is a predicted model, not a curated record. Lineage: Eukaryota; Viridiplantae; Streptophyta; Magnoliopsida; Fabales; Fabaceae.
AAACCAUGAUGGGGGCAGAGCCCUAUCAUGUCCUUAUGUCUCUUCCAUGACUCAAAAAGGGAUUCAUCGCCAGGUUAUCUAAAACAAGUUAUCUGGUUUCGUAACAUU